GGGGAGCUGAGGAACUGGGGGGCUUAUUCUGGAAAGGCCUCUUGGUGGAAGUGAGCCUUCAGUAGGGCUUUGAAGAGGACAGGAGUGAACGUUUCGCAGAUCUGAUGGUCGGCCCAGGCGUCGAUACGUGUCCUCCUCUCCGGGAGGCCAUGGCCACGUGCGUACGGUCCCAUAAUAAUGAUAAUGAUGGUAUUUGUUAAGCUAUUACUAUGUGACAGGCACUGUUCUAAGUGCUAGUGUAGAUACAAGCUAAUCAGGUUGGACACAGUCCCUGUCCCACAUAGGGCUCACGGUCUUAAUCCCCAUUUCACAGAUGAGGUGACUGAGGCCCAGAGAAGCAAAGUGUCUUGCCCAAAGUCACAAAGGAGACAAGUGGCGGAGCUGGGAUUAGAACCCCGUCGUUCUGGCCCCCCGGGCCCGUGUUCUAGCCACGAGGCGAUGCUGCUUCCCCUGGCCAGAGACCGGGAUGUCCUCCAAGUCGUCAGCAGGGAAGGCGAGUGGUUUCUUGGAUGGCAGGCGUUUGCCAUGGACAGAGGCGGCCCCGAUCCUGAAGCAGAGUCGGCCCGGUGCGCGUGUCUGAAGAUGAGUUGGGUGGCGUGCGUGACACUUUCUCCCGAUCUGCUCAUAUAGAUGACGGUGCCAAGUGUCUACAGGCGAGGGAUGGAAUCGGUCCUCUCUCCCGUGAAGCCAAGUUACCUUACGUUAACGGAGAUUAUGGUGACUCUGAAAUGUCUCCGUCCCGAUCUCUGCCAACGCAGAGGCCCCUGCAUGGAGGAUCACAGUCACGGCUUUAGAAGCCUAAUUGCUCUU
This 810-nucleotide long non-coding RNA is filed under the name Ornithorhynchus anatinus (platypus). Its description in RNAcentral is "lncRNA (ENSOANG00000036274.1)". The record is from RNAcentral. Lineage: Eukaryota; Metazoa; Chordata; Mammalia; Monotremata; Ornithorhynchidae.